AGGAGAGUAAAUUAUUCAUUGCAUUAUGUGAGAUGACCUGGCUUGUCAAUCAUGUAAGGCACAAUGAUGAGUCCUGUCUGAGGUGUUUUGCUUCCUUCUACCUACUCAUUUUUCAGAUCUGCUAACUUCAAUACAGUGUUAUGAGUGGGGUGCAGCAGCAGCAUUGGGCACAAAGUAGGAACAAGACUACUGACUUUCAUAAUGUUUUGGGGUAAAUCCACAUGGACAAAAAAAGAAAAUGUGCAGGGUCUUCAUAGAGAGUCACCAAGGCAGCUAAAAUAGCAGCUGAGAGCAACACAAACCAAAAGGACAGGUGCCUCCUCAUCAAAACCCAGAUUAAUAAAAUUAAGCCCAUACGAUUAAACUUUUAUUUUGGGAAUGAAUCACCUUUAUCAGAGCUCGACCCUAUUCUAGUAGUAUCAGGUGCACAGCACAAAUCAGCCCCAUAUGGGAUGUCAAUCUAUUGUAGGGCUCAGAAUAUCUCAGUUGCAAAAGGCAUAAGGCACAAACUGUCUCUUAAUGAGGUGCCAGUCUAUUGGAGGUGUAAUACAAUAAGUUUGACUCAGACACAUCAAAAGCAGUUGAGGAAAUUGCCACGUAUGAUGUCUGUCGAACUUGAUGAAAGUUGAAUUAGAACGGAUCAAAAAACCAAAGCAUUUGACAACAUACAGUACUGAGAUGGAAAUAUUUAUACAGAAAAUGGCGACAGGAUGUGAUAUGGCAGGAAAUGACAUGAAAACUGUAGGCCAGAAGUGAUGUCAUCGUGGCAUAACCGGAAGUGGCGUCAUUGAGCAGGAGCCAGAAGUGAUGUCAUCUUUUGAAGCCAGAAACAGGAUUGAUGUGGAGUGGCCAUUUUGAGAAUCUGGAAGUGGUGGAGCAUCAGCAUCAACAACUUUGUGAAAUACAUGAACCCCUGCUGUGUUUUGACAUUAAAAAUACAGAGUCACUUGCAUUUUCAGGCCUAGAUGCCUAUAUACCUCCACCCCUCUGCAGCAUUGUAAAGGAAAGGAAGCAAGGCUAAUUGAUGGGUCAACGUGGGGUUUGAGUCAUAGACUGUGAAGAACACCUCGAGGGGAGAGUAAAAUGCCUGGAAAUGAGGGAAUACAUUUGCCAUACAGUGAGCUCCCAUCACACAGAGAUUUGCAGUCAGCUAAAGACAAAAUGUUCACCAGCCUUCUACAGUCCUGUCUUUGGCUUUUUCUUGCUAUAGAAAAAUACCUUUGUAAAGCGACCGUGGGAAUGUAAAGUCGACAAUAGGUCAAAG
This is a long non-coding RNA of Erpetoichthys calabaricus (reedfish), 1264 nucleotides long. RefSeq lists it as uncharacterized. The transcript is spliced from 3 exons. The record is from RefSeq and is a predicted model, not a curated record. Lineage: Eukaryota; Metazoa; Chordata; Cladistia; Polypteriformes; Polypteridae.